GAGAAGGUGUCGAUCCAGUGCCAGUUAAUGCAUUUAGAGAAUUAGACAGGCUCUGAAUAAUUAGGAGUGGAUGAGAAUCUGGAAUGAGCAGGGUGCUGUGAAGUGUGGGAGUAGUGGAGGUGCACAGCAACUGACAUAAAGAGAAUUUCCAGGCAGGUGCACGUAGGAAACCAGAGACAGAAAAAUAUCUUAUCAAAAGUCAAUGACUGAGCUAUAUCUUCCACAAAUGUACAUAAAAUCAUUGUAACCACUUUGCUGAAUACGCUGAAAUCUGUGUUGUACAAAUAGAAAAGGGCUUAUUAUUUUCCAGUCUUACUCUUCAAUUAUGCUCUGUUGGAUUUUCUUUUCCCUGUGCCUCGAUUGCCUUAUAGGCAGAAUUCAUACUGUUCCAAUAUUAGAACAGUCUUGUUUUGUUAGCGAAAAUUCAUAUUGGAGUAGUAAAAGUUUUGGUGCUGUUUAAAUCAAGAUUUCAAUCUCACGUUUAAUUCAGUGCUUCUUACCUCCCUUUGGCCUAGGCCUAACUGACCACAGAGUGCGUGACUUGUUUUACUCUCUCCUUUUUCCUUGUUCUUCACUUCAACCCCAGACAUUACCCCUGGGUCUUCCAGGGUUAAGGGAGGAGAAGAUAGACUAAAGGAAGUCCCACCUUACUUGGAGGUGCUAGAAUGCAGUGUCAUUGCCCUCUGUGAAGUGAAGGGCUCCUUCAUAGAACAAUGUUUACAUGAUGCCUUGGAAGCCCACUGAGAAUUCUAACUUGGAUAUGUUCUUUCUGACUCUCUUGAGAUGAUCCUUCCUUGCCCAUGGUAUACUACAAGCUUCUUAUUGCUUGGGUCCCUAUGACCCAAUAAGCCCCCAUUGUGGGUUGGGUGCUUUCUAUGUCAUAACCCCCAGACACAGUUAAUAUUCCCUUAUGUGGUAGAAGGACUUUGGUUGAUAUGGUUGACUUAAGAAUCUUGAGAUGGGGAAAUAAUCAUGGCUUAUCCAAGUGGGCCUAAUGCAAUCAAAAGAGUUCUUAUCAGAGGGAAGCAGGAGGAUCAGUCAUAGAAGAUUUGAGGAUGGAGGCAGAGGACAGAGAGGAGAGAAGAUGCUAUGUUGCUGGCUCUGAAGAUGGCAGAAGAGGCCACAUGCCAAGGAAUGUAGGCAACCUCUUCAACCCAGAACAGGCAAGAUGGUGGAUUCUUUCCUGGAGCCUCCAUAAGACAAGCAACCCUACAGACCCAUUUUAGACUUCUGAUGUCUGGAACUAUAAGAGGAGUUCAUAGCUACGAUAGAUUUCAUAUUCGA
RNAcentral lists this long non-coding RNA (1284 nucleotides) under Pan troglodytes (chimpanzee). RNAcentral's name for it is "long non-coding RNA NONPTRT011049". Lineage: Eukaryota; Metazoa; Chordata; Mammalia; Primates; Hominidae. The record is from RNAcentral.